This 497-nucleotide ribosomal RNA is filed under the name uncultured bacterium. RNAcentral's name for it is "partial 16S ribosomal RNA". It matches the Rfam family "Bacterial small subunit ribosomal RNA", at positions 28 to 507 of the family's 1533-position model. The record is from RNAcentral.
GAUGAACGCUGGCGGCGUGCCUAAUACAUGCAAGUCGAGCGAACAGAUGAGGAGCUUGCUCCUCUGACGUUAGUGGCGGACGGGUGAGUAACACGUGGAUAACCUACCUAUAAGACUGGGAUAACUUCGGGAAACCGGAGCUAAUACCGGAUAAUAUAUUGAACCGCAUGGUUCAAUAGUGAAAGACGGUUUUGCUGUCACUUAUAGAUGGAUCCGCGCCGCAUUAGCUAGUUGGUAAGGUAACGGCUUACCAAGGCAACGAUGCGUAGCCGACCUGAGAGGGUGAUCGGCCACACUGGAACUGAGACACGGUCCAGACUCCUACGGGAGGCAGCAGUAGGGAAUCUUCCGCAAUGGGCGAAAGCCUGACGGAGCAACGCCGCGUGAGUGAUGAAGGUCUUCGGAUCGUAAAACUCUGUUAUUAGGGAAGAACAAAUGUGUAAGUAACUAUGCACGUCUUGACGGUACCUAAUCAGAAAGCCACGGCUAACUACGUG